GCAUUUACCGAAUAGCAAUAUCCAGACACAAGUUAAUCAUGGGUAUUGUAUAAUUAAAUAAUUAAGUCCUAAAGGGAGGAUAUAUGAUUUGGAGUGGUGAUCUUGAAUUAGGAAUUUGAAUGUUAGCAAUGUUGAAUUUAGCAAUUUGAAUGUUAGCAACAUCUUGAAAUGUUUCAAGAUGAUAGUAGAGAUUUGCUGUGUAGAACUUUGGCAUCUAAUGAUGGAACAAGAUAAACUACAAGUCUGUUUGGUGGUUAAGGUAUGGGAAUUGAGAUAAAAUGAAGCAUGGCCAACCCAAUAUUUGGAAAUAAAAUUGAAAAUUGACAUUCAACUUAAAGUUCUUUGAAUUAAAUAAACUGCU
RNAcentral lists this long non-coding RNA (361 nucleotides) under Bos taurus (domestic cattle). RNAcentral describes it as "long non-coding RNA NONBTAT016579". The record is from RNAcentral. Lineage: Eukaryota; Metazoa; Chordata; Mammalia; Artiodactyla; Bovidae.